GACAGAGGCCUCGAGCGUUAGGCGGAAUCACUGGGCUUAAAGCGUGUGUAGGCGGGCCCGUAAGUGUCUUGUGAAAUCCCACGGCUCAACCGUGGAACUGCUGGGCAUACUGCGGGUCUUGGGCCAACUAGGGGCAGCCGGAACAAGCGGUGGAGCGGUGAAAUGCGUAGAUAUCGUUUGGAACGCCGACGGCGAAAGCAGCUGACUGGGAGUGAUCUGACGCUGAGACACGAAAGCCAGGGGAGCGAACGGG
RNAcentral lists this ribosomal RNA (253 nucleotides) under uncultured bacterium. RNAcentral describes it as "partial 16S ribosomal RNA". It matches the Rfam family "Bacterial small subunit ribosomal RNA", at positions 524 to 776 of the family's 1533-position model. The record is from RNAcentral.